GAUGAACGCUGGCGGCGUGCCUAACACAUGCAAGUCGAGCGAACAGACAAUGAGAUUGUUCCUCUCUCGUUAGCGGCGGACGGGCGAGUAACGCGUGUAUCACCUUCUUAUAUUUCGGGGAUCAUUACGGGAAAACGGCUACUAUACCACAUCAUAUAAUGUACCGUAGAGUGCAAUAGAGAUUUACGGCUUUGGUGUCUGUACUAGCUGGUUUGGCGCGGCAUUAUCUAGUUGGUAAGGUGACGGCCUACCAAGGGUACGAUGCGUAGCCGAGCUGAGAGGGUGAUAGGCCACCCUGGAAGUGAGACACGGUCAAGACUCCUAAGGGAGGCAGCAGUAGGGAACGUUAGGCAACGGGCGGAAGCAUGACGGAGCAACGCCGCGUGAGUGAAGAAGGUCUUCGGAUCGUAAAGCCGUGUUGUUGGGGAAGAACAGCUGUGUAAGUAAAUAUGGCCGUUUUGACGGUACCUAAUAAAAAAGCAACGGCUAACUACGUG
Molecule: ribosomal RNA, 497 nt
Filed under: uncultured bacterium
Lineage: Bacteria
Description: partial 16S ribosomal RNA
Rfam family: Bacterial small subunit ribosomal RNA
Source: RNAcentral